CACGUAGGGCGCAAGCGUUGUCCGGAAUUAUUGGGCGUAAAGAGCUCGUAGGCGGUCUGUUGCGUCCGCUGUGAAAACUCGGGGCUUAACCCCGAGCCUGCAGUGGAUACGGGCAGACUAGAGGUAGGUAGGGGAGAAUGGAAUUCCCGGUGUAGCGGUGAAAUGCGCAGAUAUCAGGAGGAACACCGGUGGCGAGGGCGGGUCUCUGGGCCGUAACUGACGCUGAGGAGCGAAAGCGUGGGGAGCGAACAGG
Molecule: ribosomal RNA, 253 nt
Filed under: uncultured bacterium
Lineage: Bacteria
Description: partial 16S ribosomal RNA
Rfam family: Bacterial small subunit ribosomal RNA
Source: RNAcentral